Molecule: transfer RNA, 93 nt
Filed under: Nitrososphaerota archaeon
Lineage: Archaea; Thermoproteati; Nitrososphaerota
Description: tRNA-Ile
Rfam family: tRNA
About the family: Transfer RNA (tRNA) molecules are approximately 80 nucleotides in length. Their secondary structure includes four short double-helical elements and three loops (D, anti-codon, and T loops). Further hydrogen bonds mediate the characteristic L-shaped molecular structure. tRNAs have two regions of fundamental functional importance: the anti-codon, which is responsible for specific mRNA codon recognition, and the 3' end, to which the tRNAs corresponding amino acid is attached (by aminoacyl-tRNA synthetases). tRNAs cope with the degeneracy of the genetic code in two manners: having more than one tRNA (with a specific anti-codon) for a particular amino acid; and 'wobble' base-pairing, i.e. permitting non-standard base-pairing at the 3rd anti-codon position.
Source: RNAcentral
GGGCCGGUAGCUCAGCAUGGUUAGUGUUGCACAGACGGCCAGAGCGCGUGACUGAUAAUCACGAGGUCAGGAGUUCAAAUCUCCCCCGGCCCA